GAUGAACGCUGGCGGCGUGCUUAACACAUGCAAGUCGAACGGAAAGGCCCAAGCUUGCUUGGGUACUCGAGUGGCGAACGGGUGAGUAACACGUGGGUGAUCUGCCCUGCACUUCGGGAUAAGCCUGGGAAACUGGGUCUAAUACCGGAUAGGACCACAUUUUGGAUGGUGUGGUGGAAAGUUUUUCGGUGUGGGAUGAGCUCGCGGCCUAUCAGCUUGUUGGUGGGGUAAUGGCCUACCAAGGCGUCGACGGGUAGCCGGCCUGAGAGGGUGUACGGCCACAGUGGGACUGGGAUUGGGCCCAGACUCCUACGGGAGGCAGCAGUGGGGAAUAUUGCACAAGGGGCGCAAGCCUGAUGCAGCGACGCCGCGUGGGGGAUGACGGCCUUCGGGUUGUAAACGCCUUUCGCUAGGGACGAAGCGUUAUGUGACGGUACCUGGAGAAGAAGCACCGGCUAACUACGUG
Molecule: ribosomal RNA, 466 nt
Filed under: uncultured bacterium
Lineage: Bacteria
Description: partial 16S ribosomal RNA
Rfam family: Bacterial small subunit ribosomal RNA
Source: RNAcentral